AUUGAACGCUGGCGGAAUGCUUUACACAUGCAAGUCGAACGGCAGCACGGGGGCAACCCUGGUGGCGAGUGGCGAACGGGUGAGUAAUACAUCGGAACGUGCCCAGUCGUGGGGGAUAACGUAGCGAAAGUUACGCUAAUACCGCAUACGAUCUACGGAUGAAAGCGGGGGACCGUACGGCCUCGCGCGAUUGGAGCGGCCGAUGUCAGAUUAGGUAGUUGGUGAGGUAAAGGCUCACCAAGCCGACGAUCUGUAGCUGGUCUGAGAGGACGACCAGCCACACUGGGACUGAGACACGGCCCAGACUCCUACGGGAGGCAGCAGUGGGGAAUUUUGGACAAUGGGCGCAAGCCUGAUCCAGCCAUUCCGCGUGCAGGACGAAGGCCUUCGGGUUGUAAACUGCUUUUGUACGGAACGAAAAGGCUCUGGUUAAUACCUGGGGCUCAUGACGGUACCGUAAGAAUAAGCACCGGCCAACUACGUGCCAGCCGCCGCAGUAA
Molecule: ribosomal RNA, 500 nt
Filed under: uncultured bacterium
Lineage: Bacteria
Description: partial 16S ribosomal RNA
Rfam family: Bacterial small subunit ribosomal RNA
Source: RNAcentral